RNAcentral lists this ribosomal RNA (468 nucleotides) under uncultured bacterium. Its description in RNAcentral is "partial 16S ribosomal RNA". It matches the Rfam family "Bacterial small subunit ribosomal RNA", at positions 28 to 507 of the family's 1533-position model. The record is from RNAcentral.
GACGAACGCUGGCGGCGUGCUUAACACAUGCAAGUCGAACGGAAAGGCCCUGCUUUUGUGGGGUGCUCGAGUGGCGAACGGGUGAGUAACACGUGAGUAACCUGCCCUUGACUUUGGGAUAACUUCAGGAAACUGGGGCUAAUACCGGAUAGGAGCUCCUGCUGCAUGGUGGGGGUUGGAAAGUUUCGGCGGUUGGGGAUGGACUCGCGGCUUAUCAGCUUGUUGGUGGGGUAGUGGCUUACCAAGGCUUUGACGGGUAGCCGGCCUGAGAGGGUGACCGGGCACAUUGGGACUGCGGUACGGCCCAGACUCCUACGGGAGGCAGCGGGGGGGAAUAUUGCACAAUGGGGGGAAGCCUGAUGCAACAACGCCGGGUGCGGGAUGACGGCCUUCGGGGUGUAAACCGCUUUCGCCUGUGACGAAGCGUGAGUGACGGUAAUGGGUAAAGAAGCACCGGCUAACUACGUG